UACGGGAUGAGAGUGAGGAUGCAGUGAAAAAUGGAGUGAAAAAUAGAGAGAAGGAUUAAGAGAAGGAGAGGAAAUGAAGACGAUUUGUAAAGAUUGAGUCCCUGAUGAUGGGAGACAGAGGGGGGGAGGAGGAGGAUGUACAGUAUGUGAAAGAAGAUGGAUGAGGAGGGGAGAAAAAUGAAGCUAGAAAGAAAGUUUGCCACACUUGAACUAAAAAAAGCCCCACUGCACUUUGUUUAGGCGUAAAUGUUGCCUUGUAAAGAUACCAACACAGAAAUGCAAAAGAUCUCAUGACUACAACAGCGUAAUGAGACGGUAUGAAUGACUUGUGAAAAUACAGUUGAUCUCCAAGAACUGACUUUUGCAGAACUGGAGUUUUUUCUUUUCUCCCAGCAACAAUGAGCGACGAGGAAGAAAAAGAGAGAGGACGGGAGUGAGGAAGAAGGCAGGAGUUGUGGGAGGAGGGAGAGGAUGCGAGAGAGGGUGACAGCCAAGUGGAGAGGAGACGGAUGGGAGCAAAGUGAAAGCUGAAGACAUCCACCACUGAUUGCAUCAACAGGUCUGAGCCCCUCCAGUGUGUUUUCGACUCGGGGAACAAAGGUGUCUGCGACUGAGAGAUGAAAACUGCGACAACUGAUGAAGAUGACCUGUCAAACUCGCAAUCAGCGGAAAGCAACGUGCACGGACGGAUUGGAGAGAAAGAGUGGAGAUGGAAAGACGGCGUUUAGGAAGAAAAGGAGGGAGUUUACGCCCACCGCCUAAAGAGAUGAGAAGACAGGCAGAGGAGGGGAGAAUUUGUGGAGGAAGCAGAGUGUGUGUGAGUGCCAGAGCUCAUCAGCCUGUCAAACAUCCGUUAUAGACCACAAACCCACACAGCCACUGCACUGCUGAGGUCUAUCACUAAACAGGUGCACUUCCUUCACCUUCACACACACUUUCUGAUGCACUCUGAUCCAGCGUGCAUCUUCCCAGUGUGUUUGUGUGUGUGUGUAGGUGGCCACAUUUACGCACACCAAGUUUGUCCACAGGGCACAAAGCCGCCUUGGCUUAUUUCCAUGUAGCGGAAGGUGAUCCACACUGAGUCACUGUCAUUGAUCAGAAAAUAAAACCAGUCGGGUGGAUUCUUCAUAGCGAGAUGCUUCCUUCACAGCUCUCCUGAGCACCUAAACUGUUUUAGCACAAUCUGCACUCUCAGUCCAACCCACGUUUGAACCCGUAUUAUUCCUCACUGUGCUCGGAGUUUUGUAAUUCUGACUGCUGACGCACUGCAUCUAAAUUCAUCAUCCACUUUACCCGAGGGUGUUACAGCAGGGUUUUGUUUGUCUGUUUGUUUCUUUUAAUGCCUCAGAUACCCCACUCCCUCCACCCCAGAUAUAGGUGUAGUUUGAACCAGAGGACAUUGCAUAAAGUUGAGGUUAAUGCUUUUGUUGUGGGUGGGAAACAAAGCAGUGUGUGAUAUCUCUAAUUAGAAGUGUGAGUCAUUGUGUGAAAUCAGUGAAUUGUACGUUCGAAACCUUCACAAAUCCUGCACCUCAGAAUGCAAACUGUACUCCUGACGCUUUUGGUUUCGUUAACAGUUUCUCCAUCUUCACAUAUAUUUGCACCCGAAUUAGCCGUUUGCGAGGCUUAAACGUCUGUGACAUCUGCCUGCAUCCUACCAAUGAGAAUGAUGAUAUCUGUGUUACUAAUGUGAUCCUUGUUGUGAUGCAGAAUUGUGACUCCGGGUAGAUUAUAUGCUAUUUUAAGACGUAACCUUUCCUCACCUUUUUAACACAGAAAAUGAGUUUCUAUGGGGAUACUGGUGUAUAAGAAUGUUAAUUAGUGGAACUCAUGCACAUUUAUAUUUGUGGCGUAAAAUAUGAACAUGUUGGGCCACUUGUAUGUUUAUAAUCACUAGAAUAUUGUCACAUUUUUGGGGAUAUUUCAGUAAUAUAGAGGUCCACAGUCACUCUAAGCUCUAAUUGGAAGCAACCAAUAAACAGUACAUACCCUAGAAUUGAUCCUGGUUAUGUCUUAUAAUAAAACAGCAAGUGGGAAUGUAAAGAAGACAUUAUUAGCAGCUGAAUACUAUCAGAGUUAAGUAUAAUCACUAAAAUAAGCCAGUAAGGGAUGAAACAGAAUGCCCAGAUCUAACUUUAUUAAAAUCUACACCAUCAUUACAACGCAGAGAGUUUCCAGGGUUUGAAUUAUGAAGCCUCCACUCAGCAUGUUUACCUCAUUUGAAUAAAGAAGCUGGUCCUGUGCAGCGUGGCGACCAUUAUUCUUAUCCCGAGCCAGAGUUCACGUGAAAGCAAAAUCAUGAAAAUUAUGUAUUCUUAAUUAGAAUUAAUGUAGCUUUAAAGAAAGGCUGCGCCGCUGCGUCUCACUGAGGUUAGGAAGCAAAGGAGGAGGUCUAUUUGUCUGUUUCUUGUCUGUGGCUGUCUAGUCACCCGGCCACAUGCUCCAUCAUAGUUUAAAUAUUCAUAGGCCGUUGCCUGAAUAUUCAUGAGGCCCCUAUUAAUAUUUAUGAGCUUCACUUGUUGAGGUGUCACUCGAUCUCUUGUACAGCCAUGCACACACAGACAUUUACACACACUGAUGAUCAAAGCAGAUAGCUAUGUCGACAUGGGCAGCGGUCUAAGUUACAGUCAUGAUGUCAUGGUAAAUAAAAACUGUCUCUCCUCGUUUGCAGUUAAACAACCUCCAGAAAAGCCUGAAUAAAUAUGUUAAAAAGAAUUUGGGAAAUAGGCCCAUUGGUUUUUUUUUUUUUAUCUAGAGUUUGCAGGAGCACCUCCAGAAAUGUUUUAUAGGAGCGGCCAGAUGGGGCUCCUGGAGAAUCUGGGCUGCCACACAAAAACCAGAAGUUUAGUGCAGAAAUUCUAUUAUACUGUUGUAGCAUAGAGGCUAGUUGAAAACUGCAUCAACAUGAGAGUUAAGAAAUCACAUGCAGGGAGAGUUAAUAUUUUGGGUAUCUGGGCGACCACCAGUCAAAAUAGAUCAGGAGAAGAGAUGCUGCAGAGUGUUUGAGGGGAAAAUUUACCCAUAGUCAAUACAUUAAACAUUUAUUUAUGACUUAAAUAUGGAAAAUUCUGUUAGACUGAGGUUAUAAUUCAUCAUAAUAAUAGACAACAAUGCAAAAUACUCUAUCUGUAGCGAUCCAUGUGUGUUCUCGAGUCAUGUCCCACCCACAGCACUGUCUGAUUGGCCUAUUUACAUUGAAGGUUAAAUGUUAAAAACUUCUUUUUCAAUUAAAUAUAUGUAAUAUAUAUAUAGUUUUUUGUUGAAUACUAUGUUUUUCCAAAAUUUGACAUCAAGAUUUUGAUUCCAAAUAUCAUUAUCUCGCUCCUUAAUUAUUAAUAAUCUGUCUUGACACUGACAAAACCAUUUUGGUCGACCAAAUCUUUGCAAUAUCUACUGACUAUUUUUUUAAAAAUGCUUUUUUUGGGUGCAUGUAAGGCCUCUUUCUUUCGUCUGUCAUCUCCUCCACAUGGUUUUGCACGGCAGAAGUAGUCACCCACUGUGGUAGCAGCUACGCUGGCUAGUUCUGGCAUCGUGCUCUUCGUUUUUUUUCCUUUUUGGGGGGGUGGUGGCAACCAGCUGUAAGGUGUAAUACCGCCACCUGCUACGUUGGAAUGCCAACCAGAUAGUUACUGGCACUGGAUUAUUAGGAUAUUAUCGUGUGUGUUGUCAGCAUGAUAUCAGUAUUUCAUGUUUUUAAAUAUCACAUUUAUGAUCAAUACCAAUAUAUCACAACAGGUAAUAGGUAAUUAGCUAACUUUUAAAUUCUUGGUAUGUAGGUCCUGAACAUACUAAUAUAAAUAUUUUCUAUAUAGAAAUUUUUCCCUUCCACUUACAAAAAUGUUUAUCCACACAACCAAGAAUGCAAAAACAAACAGGCCUGGCUAUCAAUCAUACAGCUAAUAGCAGAGAAAACUUGUGUUUUUGGGUGAAGUGGUGCAACAAUGCCAAGUUAAGCUGUAAACUUGUAGCCGGUUGUACGUAUCUGCCAUAUCUCCAGUGAUGCUGUUCCAGAUACAUGCUCAUUACACAACGCAACGCCGUUCAUGCAGGAAUUGAUUUUUAGUUUUUAAAUCUGUGCAUUACAAAGCAUUUGGGUGACUUAAGUUCUAUUUCCAUGUGGACGAGGUGCCCAAAGGUUGAAAAUAUAGAUUGAAAAUAAUGUUUGUUUUGCAAAAUAUCUAUAUCCUUCAGUCUUUGUGCCAAGUAAAGCUGCUGGCUGCAGCUUCAUAUUUAGCAGAUAUGAAUCUCAUCAAACUCUCUGCAAGAAUGCAAAUUAGCAUAUUUCCCUAAAUGUUAAUUCAUCCAAAUAGUAUACACCAUGGGAAAUAAAAAGUUUUUAAAACUUGUAAAAUUAAUAAUGGACCCACUAUUGAGUAACCUAGUAAGUGUGCUGUGAAUGUUUUUGUAUAUAAAUAAUUGAUAUUGUAAAACCUUACUUUAUAUGUCUACCAGAAGAGUCAGUGAGUUCACUGUCUACUGCCUCCCUGAGAACAGGGCCACUCUAACCCCAGUUCCAGUAAAGGCCUUAAAACAGACGUUUCUGCACCUCAGUGAGGCGCUGGAACCGAUGUAACACUACAACUCUCUCACACACACACACACACACACACACACACGCGCGCGCAUGCUAACACACAGUCAGCUGUGCACUUUCUAAUGAGUGAGUUUAUGUAACAGACUACAACAGUGGUAUUUCUGUGCACGCGCGACGGGAAACGAGCGCCGCUGAGUCGCAGUCCUGGGUGCACACAUGUCAGCCAUCCUGCCAGAACUAGCAAACAGCAGGUGUGUGUGUGUGUGGGUGUGUGUGUGUGUGUGUGUGUGUGUGUGUGUGUGUGUGUGUGUGUGUGUGUGUGUGUGUGUGUGUGUGUGUGUGUCUUUCCGCUAUGCCACUUCUUUUUUCAAAUUUUAGAUUGCAUGCAGGCCAGCUGUCCAUGGAUGAACUGUUCAAGUGGACAAAAAAAAAAGUCUCUAAUUUGAUUAAGUUGUAUUUGUGUUGUGGAUGAUGUAAAAUCGUCUUUUCAGUCAGUGAAGUGUCAUUAAAACAUGACAGACCUG
Long non-coding RNA from Amphiprion ocellaris (clown anemonefish), 5058 nucleotides. RefSeq lists it as uncharacterized. Lineage: Eukaryota; Metazoa; Chordata; Actinopteri; Pomacentridae. The transcript has 3 exons. The record is from RefSeq and is a predicted model, not a curated record.